RNAcentral lists this ribosomal RNA (2923 nucleotides) under Klebsiella pneumoniae. Its description in RNAcentral is "bacterial LSU rRNA". It matches the Rfam family "Bacterial large subunit ribosomal RNA". RNAcentral also lists the same sequence under 1 other name. Lineage: Bacteria; Pseudomonadati; Pseudomonadota; Gammaproteobacteria; Enterobacterales; Enterobacteriaceae. The record is from RNAcentral.
GGGUUGUGAGGUUAAGCGACUAAGCGUACACGGUGGAUGCCCUGGCAGUCAGAGGCGAUGAAGGACGUGCUAAUCUGCGAAAAGCGUCGGUAAGGUGAUAUGAACCGUUACAGCCGGCGAUGUCCGAAUGGGGAAACCCAGUGUGAUUCGUCACACUAUCGUUAACUGAAUACAUAGGUUAACGAGGCGAACCGGGGGAACUGAAACAUCUAAGUACCCCGAGGAAAAGAAAUCAACCGAGAUUCCCCCAGUAGCGGCGAGCGAACGGGGAGCAGCCCAGAGUCUGAAUCAGCUUGUGUGUUAGUGGAACGGUCUGGAAAGUCCGACGGUACAGGGUGAUAGUCCCGUACACCAAAAUGCACAGGCUGUGAACUCGAAGAGUAGGGCGGGACACGUGGUAUCCUGUCUGAAUAUGGGGGGACCAUCCUCCAAGGCUAAAUACUCCUGACUGACCGAUAGUGAACCAGUACCGUGAGGGAAAGGCGAAAAGAACCCCGGCGAGGGGAGUGAAAAAGAACCUGAAACCGUGUACGUACAAGCAGUGGGAGCACCUUCGGGUGUGACUGCGUACCUUUUGUAUAAUGGGUCAGCGACUUAUAUUCUGUAGCAAGGUUAACCGUAUAGGGGAGCCGCAGGGAAACCGAGUCUUAACUGGGCGUUAAGUUGCAGGGUAUAGACCCGAAACCCGGUGAUCUAGCCAUGGGCAGGUUGAAGGUUGGGUAACACUAACUGGAGGACCGAACCGACUAAUGUUGAAAAAUUAGCGGAUGACUUGUGGCUGGGGGUGAAAGGCCAAUCAAACCGGGAGAUAGCUGGUUCUCCCCGAAAGCUAUUUAGGUAGCGCCUCGUGAAUUCAUCUUCGGGGGUAGAGCACUGUUUCGGCUAGGGGGUCAUCCCGACUUACCAACCCGAUGCAAACUACGAAUACCGAAGAAUGUUAUCACGGGAGACACACGGCGGGUGCUAACGUCCGUCGUGAAGAGGGAAACAACCCAGACCGCCAGCUAAGGUCCCAAAGUCAUGGUUAAGUGGGAAACGAUGUGGGAAGGCACAGACAGCCAGGAUGUUGGCUUAGAAGCAGCCAUCAUUUAAAGAAAGCGUAAUAGCUCACUGGUCGAGUCGGCCUGCGCGGAAGAUGUAACGGGGCUAAACCAUGCACCGAAGCUGCGGCAGCGACACUAUGUGUUGUUGGGUAGGGGAGCGUUCUGUAAGCCUGCGAAGGUGACCUGUGAGGGUUGCUGGAGGUAUCAGAAGUGCGAAUGCUGACAUAAGUAACGAUAAAGCGGGUGAAAAGCCCGCUCGCCGGAAGACCAAGGGUUCCUGUCCAACGUUAAUCGGGGCAGGGUGAGUCGACCCCUAAGGCGAGGCCGAAAGGCGUAGUCGAUGGGAAACAGGUUAAUAUUCCUGUACUUGGUGUUACUGCGAAGGGGGGACGGAGAAGGCUAUGUUAGCCGGGCGACGGUUGUCCCGGUUUAAGCAUGUAGGCUGGUUGUCCAGGCAAAUCCGGAUAAUCAAGGCUGAGGUGUGAUGACGAGGCACUACGGUGCUGAAGUAACAAAUGCCCUGCUUCCAGGAAAAGCCUCUAAGCAUCAGGUAACAUUAAAUCGUACCCCAAACCGACACAGGUGGUCAGGUAGAGAAUACCAAGGCGCUUGAGAGAACUCGGGUGAAGGAACUAGGCAAAAUGGUGCCGUAACUUCGGGAGAAGGCACGCUGGUGUGUAGGUGAAGUCCCUGCGGAUGGAGCUGAGACCAGUCGAAGAUACCAGCUGGCUGCAACUGUUUAUUAAAAACACAGCACUGUGCAAACACGAAAGUGGACGUAUACGGUGUGACGCCUGCCCGGUGCCGGAAGGUUAAUUGAUGGGGUUAUCCGUAAGGAGAAGCUCUUGAUCGAAGCCCCGGUAAACGGCGGCCGUAACUAUAACGGUCCUAAGGUAGCGAAAUUCCUUGUCGGGUAAGUUCCGACCUGCACGAAUGGCGUAAUGAUGGCCAGGCUGUCUCCACCCGAGACUCAGUGAAAUUGAACUCGCUGUGAAGAUGCAGUGUACCCGCGGCAAGACGGAAAGACCCCGUGAACCUUUACUAUAGCUUGACACUGAACAUUGAGCCUUGAUGUGUAGGAUAGGUGGGAGGCUUUGAAGCGUGGACGCCAGUCUGCGUGGAGCCAACCUUGAAAUACCACCCUUUAAUGUUUGAUGUUCUAACGUUGGCCCCUUACCGGGGUUGCGGACAGUGUCUGGUGGGUAGUUUGACUGGGGCGGUCUCCUCCCAAAGCGUAACGGAGGAGCACGAAGGUUAGCUAAUCCUGGUCGGACAUCAGGAGGUUAGUGCAAUGGCAUAAGCUAGCUUGACUGCGAGCGUGACGGCGCGAGCAGGUGCGAAAGCAGGUCAUAGUGAUCCGGUGGUUCUGAAUGGAAGGGCCAUCGCUCAACGGAUAAAAGGUACUCCGGGGAUAACAGGCUGAUACCGCCCAAGAGUUCAUAUCGACGGCGGUGUUUGGCACCUCGAUGUCGGCUCAUCACAUCCUGGGGCUGAAGUAGGUCCCAAGGGUAUGGCUGUUCGCCAUUUAAAGUGGUACGCGAGCUGGGUUUAGAACGUCGUGAGACAGUUCGGUCCCUAUCUGCCGUGGGCGCUGGAGAAUUGAGGGGGGCUGCUCCUAGUACGAGAGGACCGGAGUGGACGCAUCACUGGUGUUCGGGUUGUCAUGCCAAUGGCACUGCCCGGUAGCUAAAUGCGGAAGAGAUAAGUGCUGAAAGCAUCUAAGCACGAAACUUGCCCCGAGAUGAGUUCUCCCUGAGACUUUAAGUCUCCUGAAGGAACGUUAAAGACGAUGACGUUGAUAGGCCGGGUGUGUAAGCGCAGCGAUGCGUUGAGCUAACCGGUACUAAUGAACCGUGAGGCUUAACCUUACAACGCCGAAG